This 29-nucleotide non-coding RNA is filed under the name Rattus norvegicus (Norway rat). Lineage: Eukaryota; Metazoa; Chordata; Mammalia; Rodentia; Muridae. The record is from RNAcentral.
UGUGAUUAAUGGCCACUUGUGCUAGGACC